Molecule: ribosomal RNA, 492 nt
Filed under: uncultured bacterium
Lineage: Bacteria
Description: partial 16S ribosomal RNA
Rfam family: Bacterial small subunit ribosomal RNA
Source: RNAcentral
AGUGAACGCUGGCGGUAGGCCUAACACAUGCCAGUCGAACGGCAGCACAGUAAGAGCUUGCUCUUACGGGUGGCGAGUGGCGGACGGGUGAGGAAUACAUCGGAAUCUACUUUUUCGUGGGGGAUAACGUAGGGAAACUUACGCUAAUACCGCAUACGACCUACGGGUAAAAGCAGGGGAUCUUCGGACCUUGCGCGAUUGAAUGAGCCGAUGUCGGAUUAGCUAGUUGGCGGGGUAAAGGCCCACCAAGGCGACGAUCCGUAGCUGGUCUGAGAGGAUGAUCAGCCACACUGGAACUGAGACACGGUCCAGACUCCUACGGGAGGCAGCAGUGGGGAAUAUUGGACAAUGGGCGCAAGCCUGAUCCAGCCAUACCGCGUGGGUGAAGAAGGCCUUCGGGUUGUAAAGCCCUUUUGUUGGGAAAGAAAGGCAGCAGGUUAAUACCCCGCUGUUCUGACGGUACCCAAAGAAUAAGCACCGGCUAACUUCGUG